CCCAGGCUGGAGUGCAGUGACCGGAUCUCCGCUCACUGCAAGCUCCGCCUCCCGGGUUCACGCCAUUCUCCUGCCUCAGCCUCCUGAGUAGCUGGGACUACAGGCGCCCGCCACCACGCCCGGCUAAUUUUUUUGUAUUUUUAGUAGAGACGGGGUUUCACCGUGUUAGCCAGGAUGGUCUCGAUUUCCUGGCCUCCUGAUCUGCCUGCCUUGGCCUCCCAAAGUGCUGGGAUUACAGGCGUGAGCCACCACGCCCGGCCUGCCUGAUUCUUUAGGAAAUAGGUCUUCAGGACCCCCACACUUAAUCCUGGGAUGUGAAAGUGAUAAGGCUCAGUCAACUUAGGUGCAAUGCCUUAUCCAGGUAUGAAUGCAGUCUUUCCCUGAGCUGAAUAAAACUCAAGAAUCAAAGACUCUGUUCUUGCUUUCUCAAUCUGCUGUUGUCUCCACUCAGCUCACUUCCUAUGGAAAGGACUCAGGUAUGGGGCAGAGUCACUUCCUGCACCACACCAUCAGCAAAGCUAGCUCCUCUUGGCUGGCGCAGGCCCUCUGGCUUCCCAGCUAUGAGGUCACGCCAGCUGAGAAUUCAAUGAUCUGUCUUAACCACAGUGACUCAUGCAGCCUCUGGUUACCCUGCGGCUGGGACCCAGUUCCUCUACAGGAAGACAUAUUUUAAAUGAUUACAUGAAUGACGGAGAGUGCGCAGAGGGCUUUCAAAGAUUUGGAACAACCAGCCGGAAGCGCCAAAACUUACCCGGGAUACAACUAGAGUCCAGGAAGGAUCGCAGCCCUACUGAGAACUUGAAAGACCCCAAGUUCCAUCCUCAAAGCAUCCUCGCUGCUGCAUCAUUACAAAAUCCCCGUGAUCCACCUUUUCAAAGGUACAUGUUAACUUAUCUACAUGGUGUGUGCUUACUGAGUGCCUAUGGGGCUGUCCAGCUCCAGCUCCCUGUGUCGAAGGGAGGACCAAGGGAAGGGAAGGCUCUCAUCUCACCCUGGAGGGGCUUGUGGCUUGCUGGGCAGAGGAGACACAGUGCACCUUGCAGCCCUGGACAGGGCACCAGGCAAUGUGUGGAACAAGAUUUCCAUGCCUGCAAAGUGCAGGAAAGACAACUCAGGACAGAAACAUGGACAGCCAAGAAGCUGGGAAAAAAUGUUCCUUUGCACUAGCAAACAAAGCAAUGCCUAUAGCAUUGUCAGUAACUUAACAUUCUGUCUACACACAUCUAAAGAUUAAAACAACAAUAACAACAACAUUCUCCUCAUGGCUGGGGUAAGUGUAAGGAGGUACGAGCAGUAAUGAAAUUUGCUACAGUGGAGUGAUAUAUUUGACAAAUUUAAUUUACAUAAUUUUAACUCUGCAUUUGUCCACCACACCCCUCCCCCAAAAAGGGGAAAGAAAGAAGGAGAGAGGGAGGUAGGGAAGGAGGAAUGGAGGUACCAAGGAAGGAAGGGAAGGGAAAGAAAGAAGAAGAGAGGAAGGACGGGAGGGAAGGACGAAAGGGAAAGAAAGAAAAGGAGAGAGGGAGGAAGGGAGGAAAGAGAAAAGGAAGGAAGAGAGGGAGCAAGAGAAGAAGAGAGGAAAGAAGGAAGGAAGGAAGGGAUUGAAGAAGGAAGGAAGAAAGGGAGAUGAUAUGGUUUUUCUCUGUGUCCCCACCCAAAUCUCAUCUCAAAUUGUAAUCUCCACAUGUGGAGGGAAGGAGGUGAUUGGAUCAUGGGGGCAGUUUCCCCCAUGCUUUUCUUGUGAUAGUGAAUUCUCAGGAGAUCUGACGGUUUUGUGAGCAUAUGGCAUUUCCCCUGCUUGCACUUCGCUCUCUUGCAGCCAUGUGAAGGUGUUUGCUUCCCCUUCACCUUCCGCCAUGAUUGUAAGUUUCCUGAGGUCUCUCCAGCCAUGCGGAACUGUGAGUCCACUAAGCCUCUUUCCUUUAUAAAUUACCCGGUCUUGGGAAGCUCUUUGUAGCAGUGUGAAAACGGGCUAAUACAGGAGGGAAGAAGGAAGGAAGGAGAGAAGAGAGGGGAGAAGAAAGAAAGGAAGGGAGAGAGGGAAGAAGAAAGGGAAGAGAAAAGGAAAGAAGGAAGGAAGGGCAGAAGGAAGGAAGAUGUACCUAAAGCCUGCCUUACCACCCAUCGUUUCCCUCCGUGUGUGUGCUCAGGAGUGAGCACCUGAGGGGAGAUCCUGCUGCUUUCUCCCCAGAGCUGUUUCUUCACUGGGUCUGUGUGGUGUGACCGUCCCAAGGGCUGGAUCUGAGACUCAUGUUUAAGGACCCAGUCUCAUACCAGAUGUCCCCUAAAGCCUAACAGCUCCUAGCAUAAGAACUGCAAAGAUGGCUCUCCUUGCUACCCACCCCCACCUUGUGCCCUACAGUCUGUUUUCUAAGGAGCAGCCAGAGAGAUCCUUUAAAACAAGAGUCACUCAUGUCAUGCCUCUGCUAAACAUGCUCCACAAUUUCCAUUCCUUUCUGGGAAAAAGUCCAUAUCCACCCAAUGCCCUGCCUAGCUCACCUCUCUGGUCUCCUCCUAUCCUUCACUCUUCCUGCCACACACUGGUCUUUGGACACACCGACCUCCUUGUUGUUCCUUCAGCAUGCCAAUUGUGCCUCCUUCUCAGGGCAUUCAUACAUGGUGUUUCCUCUUCUGGGAAUGCCCUUCCACCAGCUAGUUGCAUAACUCAAUUCUCACUUUCUUCAAGUCACCUCUUCUCAAUGGAGCUUCCUUUGACCAUCUAAACCUCUAUGGCACCCUCCUCCAAACAUACUUCUCUUUUAGCCCUGCCUAGUCUUUUUUUUUCUAUAUUACUUAUCAUCUUCUAAUACUUUAGAAAUUUUGUGAUUGUUAGGCUUAAUUUUCAUUAUCUCUCUCCACCAGAAUAGCUUUUUACAGUGAAUAUAUUGGUCUAGUUCGGUGUCUGUCCCAUCUCCAUCUCCUGGCACUAUGCCUGACACAGACUAGUUACUCAAUAAACAGUGUUUGAGUUGUUGCAUGAACAAAUGAAUUACUGAAUGUCAAUCUCCAACACUAUUUUCUUAAAAGAUGUGCCAGGGCAAUUUUGAUGACCAGCAUUUUGUAUUAUAUGUACUGACUUUAAAAAUAUCCCUCCCACUUCAGGUGAGAGUCUAUUGUAGAAGGUUUCAGAAGGUAAUUUGGCAACAUAUAUUAAGGGCUUAAAAAAGAGUUUAUCCUUGGAAAAUUUCAUGUGUGUUCAUGAAUGUUGAGCAAAACCACAGGCAGGUCAGUGUUGUAUCAAAUAUAAAAAAUUGGAAGUGAUCUAACUACCCAAUAAUAAUUGGGUAAUAAAAAAUUAUGGUCUGCACAAACAGUGGAGUAUUAUUUGGCAUUUAAAAUGCAGAGGAGUAGAAUUCUUUUUAAAUAGAAAAUGGUUAUAUGAAUUGAAAAAAUUACAAAACAGUAAAUAGCUUGGAAUAUCACAUUUAAAAAAGAAAUAUACAUAUAUUGAUAUACACAUAUAUGUAUUAUAUAUGUAAAUAUACAUAUACAUACAGCGAUAUCUAGACAUCUACAUGUAUUUCCUGGGAAACUACAAUUUUAUAUGCUUUGGUGUUGUCAUUAGUGAUUUCUAAAUUGUUAUUUUUUGUGAAUUAUUUUAGUAAAUUGUUCUACAUUAGCUUAUCUUUUUCUCUAAUUUUUCUCAAAGAUCAUGACUUUUUUUUAUUUUUAGACAGAGUCUCGCUCUGUUGCCCAGGCCAGAGUGCAAUGGCACGAUCUCAGCUCACUGCAACCUCCACCUCCAGAAUUCAAGCGAUUCUCCUGCCUCAGUCUCCCGAGUAGCUGGGAUUACAGGCACCGCCAGCACGCUCAGCUAAUUUUUAUAUUUUUAGUAGAGAUGGGGUUUUGCCACGUUGGUUAGGCUGGUCUCAAACUCCCAUCCUCAGGUGAUCCACCCACCUGGGCUUCCCAAAGUGCUGGGAUUACAGGCAUGAGCCACUGCGCCCAGCCAUGACUUUUUAUGGGUUUUUAAUUUGGCAAAUAAUGGCAAUAAAUGAUAUUUCCAUUAAAAACUGGAUCUCAGUGCUUUCUAACAUUUAAUAUUGUAAUCUGACUUGAAAUAAGACAUUUCCAACUUUUAUUUCUUAAAUCAUCAUCUCUGGUCUUCUGAGGAAGGAAGAGGGAAGCCGCUCUUCCACCCAGCAGUUGAAUGAAUACAGUGGCGGCCACUCGUGAAGCCCACAUUAGUUCCUGCUCAGUUUAAUCACACACUCCUGCACUCUAGUCAAAGGGGAUUAGACAUAAGCUGUGAUGCCAUGGCCACGUAGACUGCUUCUUUGGAGUGUGGCUUAUUUAUUCCUUUAGU
RNAcentral lists this long non-coding RNA (4306 nucleotides) under Pan paniscus (pygmy chimpanzee). RNAcentral's name for it is "lncRNA (ENSPPAG00000044956.1)". The record is from RNAcentral. Lineage: Eukaryota; Metazoa; Chordata; Mammalia; Primates; Hominidae.